RNAcentral lists this long non-coding RNA (399 nucleotides) under Gossypium barbadense (sea-island cotton). RNAcentral's name for it is "long non-coding RNA (GBAR_LNC010091)". The record is from RNAcentral. Lineage: Eukaryota; Viridiplantae; Streptophyta; Magnoliopsida; Malvales; Malvaceae.
AAUUGCACAACAUCAAACUGUGUUUUGGCAGAGCAUGAAUUUAUCCCCCGAAAAAGAAGAUGGUCGCAACAUCGUACAAUAUCGAACCUGAAAUCAAAGAGCAGAUGGUCACAUCUUUGGACAAGGUAAUUAAUGAUAUGUUUUGAUCCUAGGAGUUCCAAACCAACUCAUGUAUCAAAAUUUCCUUGGAAGCUCCUUCAUUUAUGCAGUUUUGUAGAUGAGAAUUCACAUCUAAAAACUAUCCCUUACCAACUAAUUUCGGUAUGCAUGAGAUGACUUACCUAAUUUAAAACCGCUUACAGAAGCUCUACAACGAGUGCAGAUGCACCUCCACCACCAUUGCAAACACCACCAACUCCGUAUUUCCCAUUUUUCUGCUUCAAAACCCCCAAAAGCGUG